GUUGUCGUCAGCUCGUGUCGUGAGAUGUUGGGUUAAGUCCCGCAACGAGCGCAACCCUUAUUGCUAGUUACCAUCAUUGAGUUGGGGACUCUAGCGAGACUGCCAGCGAUAAGCUGGAGGAAGGUGGGGAUGACGUCAAAUCAUCAUGCCCCUUAUGACCUGGGCUACAAACGUGAUACAAUGGCUGGAACAAAGGGAGGCGAAGGGGUGACCUGGAGCGAAACCCAAAAAUACAGUCUCAGUUCGGAUUGAAGUCUGCAACUCGACUUCAUGAAGUCGGAAUCGCUAGUAAUCGCGGAUCAGAACGCCGCGGUGAAUACGUUCUCGGGGUUU
This 333-nucleotide ribosomal RNA is filed under the name uncultured Acholeplasma sp. RNAcentral describes it as "bacterial SSU rRNA". It matches the Rfam family "Bacterial small subunit ribosomal RNA", at positions 1048 to 1382 of the family's 1533-position model. The record is from RNAcentral. Lineage: Bacteria; Bacillati; Mycoplasmatota; Mollicutes; Acholeplasmatales; Acholeplasmataceae.